RNAcentral lists this signal recognition particle RNA (294 nucleotides) under Aotus nancymaae (Ma's night monkey). Its description in RNAcentral is "Metazoan signal recognition particle RNA (ENSANAG00000000635.1)". It matches the Rfam family "Metazoan signal recognition particle RNA". Rfam says of the family: The signal recognition particle (SRP) is a universally conserved ribonucleoprotein. It is involved in the co-translational targeting of proteins to membranes. The record is from RNAcentral. Lineage: Eukaryota; Metazoa; Chordata; Mammalia; Primates; Aotidae.
GUCGGGGUGGUGGCGUGUGCCUGUAGUCCCAGCUACUUAGGAGGCUGAGGCUGGAGGAUCGCUUGAGCCCAGGAGUCCUGGGCUGUAGUGCGCUAUGCCAAUCAGGUGUCCGCACUAAGUUCGGCAUCAAUAUGGUGACCUCCCAGAAGCGGGGGACCACCAGGUUGCAAAAGGGGUGAACUGGCCAGGUUGGAAACGGAGCAGGUCAAAACUCCCGUGCUGAUCAGUAGUGGGAUCGCGCCUGUAAAGAGCCGCUGCACUCCAGCCUGGGCAACAUAGCAAGACCCCGUCUCU